GACAGAGGGGGCAAGCGUUGCUCGGAAUUACUGGGCGUAAAGGGCGUGCAGGCGGUCUGUUAAGUCUAGGGUGAAAGCUCCCGGCUCAACUGGGAGAGGUCCUUGGAUACUGGCGGACUUGAGGGAGGCAGAGGAAAGUGGAAUUCCCGGUGUAGUGGUGAUAUGCGUAGAUAUCAGGAAGAACACCCGUGGCGAAGGCGGCUCUCUGGAACGCAACUGACGCUGAGACGCGAAAGCGUGGGGAGCAAACAGG
This 253-nucleotide ribosomal RNA is filed under the name uncultured bacterium. RNAcentral describes it as "partial 16S ribosomal RNA". It matches the Rfam family "Bacterial small subunit ribosomal RNA", at positions 524 to 776 of the family's 1533-position model. The record is from RNAcentral.